This 253-nucleotide ribosomal RNA is filed under the name uncultured bacterium. RNAcentral's name for it is "partial 16S ribosomal RNA". It matches the Rfam family "Bacterial small subunit ribosomal RNA", at positions 524 to 776 of the family's 1533-position model. The record is from RNAcentral.
UACGUAGGGGGCUAGCGUUGCUCGGAAUUACUGGGCGUAAAGGGCGCGUAGGCGGAUAUCUAAGUUGGGGGUGAAAUCCCGGGGCUCAACCUCGGAAUUGCCUUCAAAACUGGAUAUCUUGAGUUCGGGAGAGGUGAGUGGAACUCCGAGUGUAGAGGUGAAAUUCGUAGAUAUUCGGAAGAACACCAGUGGCGAAGGCGACUCACUGGCCCGAUACUGACGCUGAGGCGCGAAAGCGUGGGGAGCAAACAGG